Molecule: non-coding RNA, 136 nt
Filed under: uncultured Enterocloster sp.
Lineage: Bacteria; Bacillati; Bacillota; Clostridia; Lachnospirales; Lachnospiraceae
Description: Lysine riboswitch
Rfam family: Lysine riboswitch aptamer
About the family: Riboswitches are metabolite binding domains within certain messenger RNAs that serve as precision sensors for their corresponding targets. Allosteric rearrangement of mRNA structure is mediated by ligand binding, and this results in modulation of gene expression.
Source: RNAcentral
GUAGAGGUUGCGUCAAUCAUCAGUAUCCGGGGAAAGGGAACGACGCCGAAGGGGGGAUAUUUCCUGGCAGUAGUCCCUUCUGGGUGCAUGGUGAAGAAUCAUGUGACUGUCAUCCUGGUGGAUGGAGAGCUACUGA